This 2904-nucleotide ribosomal RNA is filed under the name Escherichia coli. Its description in RNAcentral is "23S ribosomal RNA". It matches the Rfam family "Bacterial large subunit ribosomal RNA". RNAcentral also lists the same sequence under 3 other names. The record is from RNAcentral. Lineage: Bacteria; Pseudomonadati; Pseudomonadota; Gammaproteobacteria; Enterobacterales; Enterobacteriaceae.
GGUUAAGCGACUAAGCGUACACGGUGGAUGCCCUGGCAGUCAGAGGCGAUGAAGGACGUGCUAAUCUGCGAUAAGCGUCGGUAAGGUGAUAUGAACCGUUAUAACCGGCGAUUUCCGAAUGGGGAAACCCAGUGUGUUUCGACACACUAUCAUUAACUGAAUCCAUAGGUUAAUGAGGCGAACCGGGGGAACUGAAACAUCUAAGUACCCCGAGGAAAAGAAAUCAACCGAGAUUCCCCCAGUAGCGGCGAGCGAACGGGGAGCAGCCCAGAGCCUGAAUCAGUGUGUGUGUUAGUGGAAGCGUCUGGAAAGGCGCGCGAUACAGGGUGACAGCCCCGUACACAAAAAUGCACAUGCUGUGAGCUCGAUGAGUAGGGCGGGACACGUGGUAUCCUGUCUGAAUAUGGGGGGACCAUCCUCCAAGGCUAAAUACUCCUGACUGACCGAUAGUGAACCAGUACCGUGAGGGAAAGGCGAAAAGAACCCCGGCGAGGGGAGUGAAAAAGAACCUGAAACCGUGUACGUACAAGCAGUGGGAGCACGCUUCGGCGUGUGACUGCGUACCUUUUGUAUAAUGGGUCAGCGACUUAUAUUCUGUAGCAAGGUUAACCGAAUAGGGGAGCCGAAGGGAAACCGAGUCUUAACUGGGCGUUAAGUUGCAGGGUAUAGACCCGAAACCCGGUGAUCUAGCCAUGGGCAGGUUGAAGGUUGGGUAACACUAACUGGAGGACCGAACCGACUAAUGUUGAAAAAUUAGCGGAUGACUUGUGGCUGGGGGUGAAAGGCCAAUCAAACCGGGAGAUAGCUGGUUCUCCCCGAAAGCUAUUUAGGUAGCGCCUCGUGAAUUCAUCUCCGGGGGUAGAGCACUGUUUCGGCAAGGGGGUCAUCCCGACUUACCAACCCGAUGCAAACUGCGAAUACCGGAGAAUGUUAUCACGGGAGACACACGGCGGGUGCUAACGUCCGUCGUGAAGAGGGAAACAACCCAGACCGCCAGCUAAGGUCCCAAAGUCAUGGUUAAGUGGGAAACGAUGUGGGAAGGCCCAGACAGCCAGGAUGUUGGCUUAGAAGCAGCCAUCAUUUAAAGAAAGCGUAAUAGCUCACUGGUCGAGUCGGCCUGCGCGGAAGAUGUAACGGGGCUAAACCAUGCACCGAAGCUGCGGCAGCGACGCUUAUGCGUUGUUGGGUAGGGGAGCGUUCUGUAAGCCUGUGAAGGUGUGCUGUGAGGCAUGCUGGAGGUAUCAGAAGUGCGAAUGCUGACAUAAGUAACGAUAAAGCGGGUGAAAAGCCCGCUCGCCGGAAGACCAAGGGUUCCUGUCCAACGUUAAUCGGGGCAGGGUGAGUCGACCCCUAAGGCGAGGCCGAAAGGCGUAGUCGAUGGGAAACAGGUUAAUAUUCCUGUACUUGGUGUUACUGCGAAGGGGGGACGGAGAAGGCUAUGUUGGCCGGGCGACGGUUGUCCCGGUUUAAGCGUGUAGGCUGGUUUUCCAGGCAAAUCCGGAAAAUCAAGGCUGAGGCGUGAUGACGAGGCACUACGGUGCUGAAGCAACAAAUGCCCUGCUUCCAGGAAAAGCCUCUAAGCAUCAGGUAACAUCAAAUCGUACCCCAAACCGACACAGGUGGUCAGGUAGAGAAUACCAAGGCGCUUGAGAGAACUCGGGUGAAGGAACUAGGCAAAAUGGUGCCGUAACUUCGGGAGAAGGCACGCUGAUAUGUAGGUGAAGCGACUUGCUCGUGGAGCUGAAAUCAGUCGAAGAUACCAGCUGGCUGCAACUGUUUAUUAAAAACACAGCACUGUGCAAACACGAAAGUGGACGUAUACGGUGUGACGCCUGCCCGGUGCCGGAAGGUUAAUUGAUGGGGUCAGCGCAAGCGAAGCUCUUGAUCGAAGCCCCGGUAAACGGCGGCCGUAACUAUAACGGUCCUAAGGUAGCGAAAUUCCUUGUCGGGUAAGUUCCGACCUGCACGAAUGGCGUAAUGAUGGCCAGGCUGUCUCCACCCGAGACUCAGUGAAAUUGAACUCGCUGUGAAGAUGCAGUGUACCCGCGGCAAGACGGAAAGACCCCGUGAACCUUUACUAUAGCUUGACACUGAACAUUGAGCCUUGAUGUGUAGGAUAGGUGGGAGGCUUUGAAGUGUGGACGCCAGUCUGCAUGGAGCCGACCUUGAAAUACCACCCUUUAAUGUUUGAUGUUCUAACGUUGACCCGUAAUCCGGGUUGCGGACAGUGUCUGGUGGGUAGUUUGACUGGGGCGGUCUCCUCCUAAAGAGUAACGGAGGAGCACGAAGGUUGGCUAAUCCUGGUCGGACAUCAGGAGGUUAGUGCAAUGGCAUAAGCCAGCUUGACUGCGAGCGUGACGGCGCGAGCAGGUGCGAAAGCAGGUCAUAGUGAUCCGGUGGUUCUGAAUGGAAGGGCCAUCGCUCAACGGAUAAAAGGUACUCCGGGGAUAACAGGCUGAUACCGCCCAAGAGUUCAUAUCGACGGCGGUGUUUGGCACCUCGAUGUCGGCUCAUCACAUCCUGGGGCUGAAGUAGGUCCCAAGGGUAUGGCUGUUCGCCAUUUAAAGUGGUACGCGAGCUGGGUUUAGAACGUCGUGAGACAGUUCGGUCCCUAUCUGCCGUGGGCGCUGGAGAACUGAGGGGGGCUGCUCCUAGUACGAGAGGACCGGAGUGGACGCAUCACUGGUGUUCGGGUUGUCAUGCCAAUGGCACUGCCCGGUAGCUAAAUGCGGAAGAGAUAAGUGCUGAAAGCAUCUAAGCACGAAACUUGCCCCGAGAUGAGUUCUCCCUGACUCCUUGAGAGUCCUGAAGGAACGUUGAAGACGACGACGUUGAUAGGCCGGGUGUGUAAGCGCAGCGAUGCGUUGAGCUAACCGGUACUAAUGAACCGUGAGGCUUAACCUU